CAUGCGGAAUGGGUUAGAAAGGCUGGUGGUGUGCUUUGGGGUCUGUUUGAAACGCCAGCCUGUACACGAAAUGCUUCUCACUUCUAAGCGGUUUUACCGUGGAGCUUUUGAUUCGGAGGCCCGUAAUAAGAAUUUCUCAAGAAAGUAAGGAACCGUGUCAUUUGAUCUGCGCAUAAAUGGAAAGAAGAGGAGGGCGCUUAAAAUGGUCGUGAAGCUGCUGUAAGAGCAGCUAUUAGUGAUAAACGUGAGAGUUUCCGUCAUACGGAAAGUGAUUCUGUAAGACCAUGGGGAUGUGCACUGCUUCCCAGGCAGCUAUAAAAUGCCGAGACCACUUCCUCUGAGAAUCUCUGAAACUUAAAAGUGAAUCAAAACCACACAGAAUAAACAAACUGGGAGCCUAGAAUUAGAUGAAUGGGAGGGAUCUACUCUUUGAGAAGCACCUCCUCCUUCCCCCUGACUUUUCUUUUUUUAGCUUGAUUUUAUUUUCUCUGCAUAGUUACAUGGUUAACAAGAGCACGUCUUGUCUGUCCAGUUUUAUGUGCCAGCUGAGUAGUGUAAGCAGUAAUGCCAUCAUAACAUGCUAAGUGCAUGGAGUCCACAUACAAGGGAUUGGAGUGCAUUAUAACUGUAACGGCGGUCCCUUUGGGGCAUAACAGCAAAGCAGCACGGGGAAGUCUGCAUUAAUCAUUGUUCUUGCUCUGUUUGCCUUUAUGGAUAAAUGGAUUUCAGUCUGCUACACUGGCAAUUCAGAACCUUUCUUGAGCUCUUAAUUAACACGCAACCAAGAAUAGAAUUUAAUUAAGAAAAAGGCUGCAGUAUAUUUUUGUAAUCAAAGUCAAGUGUAUAUACUGAUGAAAAUGUAUUAGAUUAAUUGUACAGUAAUCUUUUCCUUGGCACAUAUUGAGCUGCAAGAACCCAGCCUUUAAAUCUUUGCCAAUGAGAAGAAAACAUUCCUAAAACCAGGAACCAGCUAUUAUUCUAUAGCUACCUAGCUAUGUAAUUUUAUUUCUAUUACCAGAUUAUUACUGCUCUGUAACUUCCCUUAAAUUACAUGUGAAAUUUUCUAUUUCAGGCAUUUUGGCAUCAGUAUGUAGCAUUUUCAGUGACAUUUUGGGGAACUGGACAAAUUAUAUCUAUUACAUGCGAAGAGCCCCAUCCAUACAGAAGUCUCACGUAGACAUCUCUGAACUGCUUUUAGAAGAGGGCAAAACUGGUAGAGGCCUGGACUUUUACAUCUUGCUGUGUCCAAGUGUAUGGCUGAAUCCUGCAUUCCAUAGAUGAGCAAGAAUAGAGAAGGAUUUUUGUCCAAGUACUGAGAAGUUCAUAAAAGAACCCCCCGUUAAAAUAUCUCCAGUAAACCUGGAGGAGAGUGGGGAGCAACACCUUCCAGCGAAAGACCCUUCACCUUAACAUCUGUAGUUGUCCCCACGCUCGUCUGAAAUCGUUGUUUACAAAGCCACUCCGUUUCGCGAAGUCCGCCUGGAAAUCCCUGGCGCCGGCGACGCUUUCGGCAUUCGGUGUUUCAGUUCCUGCGACACAGUCUCUUUACAAACGCCGAGUCACGGUAACAGUAACUCCAUCGGUGUCCAGGUCUGCCGCGUCCCGCCCUGGGGCAGGGGGAGCUGCCGCCUCGCGGGCUCCUCGCACGGCUCCUUUCUACGUCUGCCUCCUGCGAGUUGGCGUUUUGCGGUCACUUGCAGUCCUCCCCACCAUCCGUAAGGAAAGCGAAAAAGAAACCCAAAACAUGUGUAUGUACAUUAUUAUUAUUAAUAUUAUUUUCAACCGCCACUUCUUCACAAAUCGCUGGGUGCCUUCCUCUCAGCGCAGGCCUGAGCGCGAACUCCGGGCUCGUAGCGCACACCGGCAGGGAAAGGAAAAGGAAACGAAGAGCCCCGGCGGCGGGCAGAGGGCUGGGGAAGGGGAGAGCCACGC
This is a long non-coding RNA of Centrocercus urophasianus (Greater sage-grouse), 1932 nucleotides long. RefSeq lists it as uncharacterized. The record is from RefSeq and is a predicted model, not a curated record. NCBI's taxonomy places the organism in Eukaryota, Metazoa, Chordata, Aves, Galliformes, Phasianidae. The transcript is spliced from 3 exons.